Molecule: ribosomal RNA, 439 nt
Filed under: Huttonia sp. CG166
Lineage: Eukaryota; Metazoa; Arthropoda; Arachnida; Araneae; Huttoniidae
Description: partial 16S ribosomal RNA
Rfam family: Bacterial large subunit ribosomal RNA
Source: RNAcentral
CUCUUACAGAAAUUAUUGUAAGUAAAGCCUGCUCAAUGAAUUUAAAUAGCCGCAACACUGUGCUAAGGUAGCAAAAUCAAUAGUUUAUUAAUUAUAAACCAGUAUGAAAGGUAUCAUGAUUGAUUAAUAGUAUCACUAAACAAUUACGAAAUUACUAUAAAUGUAAAAAUCCAUUUACAAAAAAAAAAGACGAUAAGACCCUAUUGAACUUUACUUAAAGUUUAGUUGGGGCAACUAACCAAAAAAAUUUUAGUAAAUACUAACUAAUAAAUUGAACCAUUAUUAAAUGAUCAUAUGAACAAGUUACCAUAGGGAUAACAGCGUAACAUUAUUUUAAAGCUCUUAUUAAAAAUAUUUUUGCGACCUCGAUGUUGAAUGAUAUUAUCUAACACACGCAACAGUAUGAAAAGAAAGUCUGUUCGACUUUUAAUAUAUCACA